RNAcentral lists this small nucleolar RNA (149 nucleotides) under Echeneis naucrates (live sharksucker). Lineage: Eukaryota; Metazoa; Chordata; Actinopteri; Carangiformes; Echeneidae. The record is from RNAcentral.
CUUCAGUGAUGAUACGAUGACGAGACAGAAUGGGACACCGUCUGUUCUGUUGGUUACUGGUCCAGGUCCACGUUCUGUGGUUCUGUUCUAGUUCCUCAGACCAGCGAGUCCUCUUUAUGUGAAGACAAAGAGGCAUUUGUCUGAGAAGG